ACCUUCCACCAAACCAGGCAGCGGCAGUCCCAAGCCUGAACCCCUGCGCCCUCUGGAACGCUCCCCCGAGUACUGAGCAGCCAGACUUAACCACAGUUAACAGCAUCAUUCCCACUGGCUGGAUUAGUCCUACUGCCCCGUUGAAAUAUUUGUGGUGUAGCAUUUGGCUGCCUUUAAAAAGAGCAAGAUAUUGGAUCUGGGUUAUUGUGACUUUGCUUAAGCUCCAUGCCCUGGGCACAGAUCUGUGUGAUGGGAAAGGAUGGCUGCUCUUGGUCUCUAUCUAAAGGUAAAACUUUGUGUUCACACUGGGGGCAGGGGACUAAAAGGCACUGUACAGGGAAUUUCUGAAGUGCUAGCAGGGCACGGUGCAUUAUUACCAGAUUCUCAUAGGGUAUUAUAUGCACUUUACUUAGUCUCUAGAAUGUAAAGGUUUGCUGCAAAAGAGUUCUGAAAUUGGCAAAAGUGGUACUGUCAUCUUGUGGUAUUCUUUAGCCAUUAUGUAUCAGAGCCCACAUUUUAGGAGCAGCAGAAAUGUACUGUCUAUUUUUAUCUCUCUUCUUGAUGCUGGAAAAGGUAACAUCCUGCAGCAGCCAGCACAGAUGCCUUUGCAGUCUCCUGGACAGGAAUAGUGCUGGAGUUUGCAUUUGGGAUUGAAGCAGUUGCAGAUUCUCUCUCUGAAAUUUGGAGAGGUUGUGACAAGAGCAGGAGCAUCCCACACUGGAGCACGCUCUUGGUGUGGUGCUGUGUGAAUUUCAACAGGACUGAGAUUCUGAAAUGAGCUCAGAGCUGCUCCGUUCUGACUCACUUUAUCCAGCUGAAUUCAGGAGCAAAAAUUGCCAAGAUCAGGAAAGAGCUGUGUGGCAGAUCUGCUGUUUUACAAUACUAAUACACCAGCAGCCAGAUUAUUAUUUUGUGAGAUUUUUUGCUUGUUUUCUGCUCUAAACAUGAGGAUAUGGCAUUUGGGGAGCAAAAUUGGACUAGUUACAGGCUGUAGGAAAUCCUGUUUUCAGCUCUUUCUAACAUAGUCUGGGGGCAAGAGCCUAAAAAGAGAAGGUAAAAAGGAGACCCAGGUUGAUUUUUUUUUGUUUUAUUAUUUUCAGAAGGGAGCAUAUUCACACACACCUGGCACCACACAGAGGCACAUAGAAGUUCCUGUAACCUCCCUUCAUCACAUCUCACCUGAGCAACCCAGCACAGCACUGCCAGCCCUCACAGGGCUUGCUCCAACACACAGCAAAAAAUGAAAGCACAAGUGGAUGCUAAACACUACUUACACAUCUUUACCUAUCAGUUUUUUCUGGGUUUGCUUCUCUGUAUAUAAGCGAAGGAACUAAUAUAUGCACCAAGUCUUAUGGAAUAAAGAAAUGAAGGCAGCAAGAAACAAAGCAAAACCUCUGUGAACUGGAUGGAGGGCAGGAUAUAAGUUUUACUGAUCAUUAGAAUCUAUUAAGGUAGCCUGGAUGUUGCUGGUUCCCAUAAUGAAUCUGCUGUGAACCCUACUGUUGAUUCAGAAAGCUCUGGCUCUUGGUUUUAUAUCUGCCAUACUGGAUGUAAAAUGCUUGAAAAGAGCAAGAAUGAACAGAGACUGACAAGGCCAUGGGAACAGUCCCCAAUGCUGCAUCCUCAACCACUCCUCCAUGGGGUGCCCGGGGUGCUGGGGCGGCACCCAGGGCAUGUCAGAGGUCUUGGUGGAUUACAGGUGAUCCGAUGUACAAGGAGGAAAAGGGAAACUAUCACUUGUUCAGAAGACUGCACAGGAUUUAUGACAAUGGAAUCUAGAGCUGUGAGCAGUUGUCAUUUUCACCAGAGGGAGAAGAAGCAUUCCUUGCCCCAAAGUGUCCUGGGGGUUUAUGGUUCAGUUUCUGCAGGCAUCCAGGAAUUAGUGUCACCUCUACAGGCCUAUAAAAUGCUGCUAUGGAAGUCACUUUUUUCCCUACUGAGUGAAUAAAUUACAAAUCCUGGAGCAGUGCUUGGUGUGCUGUAACUCUUGGCUAUAACAUCUAUGAGAUAUGUUUAAGCUGAAUGAUCCAUGGUUAGAGGGGUGAUGGUUUCUUUUAUAGCCCUCUUGUUCUUGCAGACAGUACCAUUGAAAUAGACCAUGAAGACAAAGGUAAGUUCACCAUAUUCUCAUCUUUCCUGGAGUUACAUGUACUUUUUUCUCUGCUGUGGGACGCCUCACACAUUCAGGACUAGCUAAGUCUUGGCAUUAACAGUGUUUUGUGGUUUUUUUUUCCUCCAGUCUAUGUUUUGAAUUAUAAAACUAUGAUAAUUUCUAGAAAAGUUCAUACUCUCUUUGAAGCAGAUACAACCUUCAAACUCAUAUGUAACCUACAUGUAUAAAAACCACUUUGAAAGAUGUUAUUGUUCCUUCCAGUGUUUUUUUCUCCUUCUGCACAGAAAAUGUUUUUCCACUUCCAGGCAGACUCUUCUAUUCCUACCUCUUAUAUACUCAGUCACCUUGAAAAUGCAGAGCAUUAUUGUACAGAAGAAGCUUUUUCACAGACUCCAUUACUUUGACAAUUACAUUUAUUGUAAUUUUUUCAUCACCCCUGUCCUUCUUGACAGAUCCUGCAAGAUUAUUUUAUCCAUUAUGUGACCUUCUUACUUGACAUUCCUUUGCCAUUGCUCUGAAUCCAGGCACAAAGAGCUGAAGGCUGGGAUGUAGAGGAAGGGAGAGGCCAGGAUUCCUACCCAGAGCAAGGGGACAGGUCUGGGCUCUAACACUGCAGCUAAGAGAAUUGCACCGCAUAUCUAUUUAAAUGCUAAAGAAUAACACACGUGCUCACACCCUCCUCAUGGAUUAAACUCUCUUUCAUUCAUAGUAGCAAGGUGAAAUAUAACCCUUCCUUCUACUCAGACUGGAAGUUGGGGUUGAAAAUCCCCUCUCUCAAUACCCCCAGCCCCCAUUCCAGACUUUACUGGGUUUCUACUGGUGAGUAGUAUGCUUUAUAAUUUUACUGUCUUCAUGUAUUUAAAUAUAAUGUCUGUCUAGAUACCAAUUUUAUUUUCCUGAUUAAUUUAUUCUCCAGAUUCUCUGGCCUUCAGUCAAUGCACUGAGUGAUUAAAUUUUUAUCCCAGUAAUGAGAUUUGACACAAUCUAUGCCAGUUACCUGUGUGACCUGCUAAGUAGGUUAAUUGGCAACCCUGAAUAAUUAUCACCCACCUCAUCUUUCUGACUGUGAGUCUGACAAUAAAUGAAACAUAAAAUGCUGAAAAUUACACACCAUUUUUAAUUUCAACUUCUGAAUUGUUUCAAAGAAACCUUUUACCUAGUAUCUUAUUAAUAAAAUUCAGCAAUUGAAAAAAAUACCCUGUGAACUUACUGGUUUUAUUUCUAUGUAUAUGUUUGCUCUUGUGUUUCAGCACAGCUUCCUAGAGUAAAAAGAACUAUGUGGCAUAUUAGAUGAACAGGUCCCUAUAUUCUGCAAAUUGCUUAUGUAAGUGAAUUGUUGCAUCCUCAGAGACACUGCUCAAAAGCAAGAAAAUUCAAGAAGUCAAAGUGAUAUUUGUGGUGACAUUGAAAGAAUUAUGUUCUAAUGCUUUUCUGUGAAACCUUGAGAACUAGAAAUUACCUUUAUUGUUUAAUGAAAGCUGUGAUCCUUCUAUUCCCAUUUCACAGGAAAAAGAGUUAAGAAAAAUAAAUACGGAACCGGUGGUGCUAACUUGUAUUGUGUAUCUAAUCUUAUCUACUUUGUUCAUUUCUGAAAAUCCAGGAUGGUAUUUCUUUCUGCCCUAGAAAAUGUAAGAUUGGAGCUUAGAGAGGAAAAAGAAUGGACUCCUACGGAUGAGAAGAUGGGUUAAAAAUUUAAACUUGUGGUCUUGUCACAAGAUAAUCAGCUCAAAUUAAUUAGGAUAACAGAUUUAGUCAGACUGCUUCCAAAAUCAUUCCUCUGCCCUGGCCAGAAUUAUCACCAAAACUUGGGGUAGAAAGAACAAUCAAAGAAUUCAUUUCUUGGUAUCAGCAGUUAAUGACUGCAACACAAAGUGUCUUCCGAGAGGCGCUUUGGAGAGGGGGAGCUGCUCUGCCCUGUCCUCAGGCACUCCUGUGGCACAGCUGGUGGUCCUGAGCUGGUCCUUUUCCACUGGGACCCUGCAGCCUGCAAGCACAGGCACCACUGAUGGAACCACACAAAUAAGUAUUAAAGGCAUGGUAAUGUUGGCCCAGUUACAUCAGGUUAUCAUGUGCCAUGUCUCAAAAUUUCAGCACGGUUUUCCAUUAAAUAAAAGCUUGCAGCAUCCUGAUGUCCCAUCCCCUCUGGCUGCCAUUGACAUUCCUCUUUUUCAGCCCGUGUGUUUGCAAAAAUAGGCUUCCAUUUCUGAGCUCAUUCCAUUUUGGAAAGCAAAGUGUGCAGUUUACUGUGUCCAGAGUGGAUUCUUCAGGUAGAUAACCCAUCCAAAGCCAUUCCAUCUUUCAUUUUGUUGUCUUACAGGCUUUCAAGUGGGGUGAUACAAUUCAAGAGAGGAUCCUGAUGAAAUUGCACUCAAACCUGAGUCUGAACAAGUCAGCAGAGCUCAGCUUUUGGGAGUGAGUCAUGUUAAAACCAAGCAUAUGCUCAAGUGUUUUGCUGGAUCAUGGCCAUAUUAAACUAUAAUGACCUAAAUGGAUUUACUCCCCAGACAAAUUUACCCUUUGCUUUCCUCCUGCUCACACAUACAUUUGCACCUCAAUCAAUCACUUAUAUCUCCUAUUUCCUGCAUCCUUUUAUGAAAAACUUAAUGACUUGUUUAAUCUCUUCUGAGCAUGGCUUUAUUUCCUCUAUUGGUUUCCUUGAUAAUGCAUCAUCAGGGCUUUUUUGCCCCUACCUUUACUCCCCUAAAGGUUUUCAAUUUUACUGUAGAAAUUUAAUAAAACCAAAAUUGUUAAGGCUUGUUAAUAGAGCUGUACUGUCUCUUUGUGCUCCUUCAUGUAAACCACUUCCUCCCCAUAUAAAGACAAAGGUGUUGAAGAUGCACAUUAGGUAAACUACUGUCUACAAAUGGUAAAAAUAACAUCUUGCAGCUCUCUUUCUGUGGAUCUUUUUUUUCUGACAAGUGGUGUAAAAUUACAGGCAUUUAGAUGUCAGGUAGCAGGAGAGAAAAAAAAAAAAUAGAAGAGGUAUUGUAGCAAAAUAUCAAAUAACUGAUACAUUGGUGGUAGUUAUAUGGUGUUUUAUUUCUCAAGAAUCAAGAAUUGCCUAACUUUAUAAGGUUUUUAUCAUACCUGAUAGAAAAUUAAGGGCUCCUGAUAUUUUGCAAUUCGUUGCCCAUUGCUUGUUGAUUACAUAAUUGUUUUUGAAUGAAGGAGCACUGUGAGAUCCUGUGAGAAGCUAAGCUGACAUGACUUCUGUCCUUCCUUUUUAUUACGAUAGUCAAUAGCUUAGUUGUGAGGAACAGAAUUGCUCUUUGUGACUGUAUUAGACAUUCUUCUGGGAGAGCUAGCUAAAAUUUGAGAGCAGAAAAGCAUUUCUGGAAAAAAAGAAACAAAAAAACCCCAACCCAGCAUGCCAGACAAAUCAAUAAGUGGAUGGAGCCGAGUCUGCGACUUUGGGGUUGGGUUAGGACCUAAAUCAAGACAAUAUUGGCUCUGCAAAGCCUAUAUUUUAAGGAGUACCUAUAUCAAAAGCAAUAUUGCUUUCCUGCUUUAUUUGAUAACUUCUAUGCCUUUGUGCAAGCAAAUCCAUUUUAAAGUUGUAUUUCUUUUCUUGAACUAAAGUCUUCUCUUUGGUAUGUGUAACCUGUGUACUGUGCCUCUGUGUAAAUUAACAAAAGGUGGAUUGUGUGUGAUAUUGUCACCAGGGUUCUCUGUGGAAUCCCAGGGCACUGGGAAUAUUUCUCUGUCUACUCUGGGGUGUCCUGACCCCCAGGGGAGCACUGACUUUGACCCUUGUUCAUGGACAAAACUUCCAAAGCCUCAAAGUAAACUAGAAACCACAAAAGCGUGAAAUAGAUUGUAGAAAUUGUAGAGGUUAGUGUAGUAUGUUACAUGGGUGAGAAAUUUAGGUUUUUGGACUUUUAGGAUGCUAUAGAUGGGUUCAAGGGGGAGGAUAUCUCCAACAGGGUGUUGUCUUGAGUUCCUUUCUUCUUUCUUCUUCUUUCUUCUUCUUGGGUUUAGGUGGUGUCUUGUAAUUGGGUGGAAAAAAUACACAUUGCAGGUGUUUAGAGGUCAGUUAUUGGGUUAGAAAGGAAAAUAAUUUAGGUGUCACUUCUUAAUUGGGUAGCUUAGUUUUUUAUUAGACUUAAAAACCUUGCAACACGAGGUCAUUAGCCAUUUUUGAGCUGUUUUUCCUGCAUGCAGAGUCUGGUGCAGACUGUGCUGAAGUUUUGAUAAGGUAACAAUAAACAGAAGCUGAAGACCGAAAAAGUCUAAUGAGUUCUCGUUCCUGACACAGAACUGCUCCAGGAGGGUCUCCCCUGCCAGGGGAGCCCCCAGGGAGUUGCCCAACUUGGGGCCUGCAAACUCAAAGUUUUCCAAUGAUGACAUUUGUAAAGGAAAAUAAAUAUCUCUGUGAAUUCUUUGCUGCAUAAUUUAUGCACAGUUCCUACAUGUGAAUUAUCUACAAGCUUCUCACCAUUACCUCAGGAAUAACUAUUUUAUUUUCUGGAAAAUGGAUAUAAGCAUACAUUGAUCAUCAGAAUGUGAGAGCAUAAACAGUGGGCUUUAAUGAUCUAUUGCUUUGCAUUUAUGCAGUUUCCCAUCCAAGAUCUUCUUAUUGUAUCAAAUGUAUCCAAUAUCACAUUAUUUAAAUGCAUCCCAGCUUUGUGAAAGGUAGAUUUUUUAGUCCUGUUUUGCAGAUAAUGCUGUAAGGACAAUUGAAGUUUUACUUGUCUGUGCUUCAAGUUAGGCAAGAAUCUUGUGCUUGUGCACUUGGCUACAGUGUUUGGACUGGUCCUAACUGUUUGGUAAGCUGAUCCAGACUUAAUACUUUAAGAAAAGUUAUAUUGUUCAUGAAUGAUUUGUAAUCUUGAAUGAUUGUUCUGGAUUGUUGUUCAGAACUAGUUGUCAUCUCAAAAUGAACCCAGUGAAAGCCUGUCUCUUUGUGCACCUGCCUAUAUAGACUUGCCCUAAAUAAAUCUGAAAAUGAGACUUCUACAUCUUUGAACAGUUCGAGUGGAGUUGAUGCAGUAUUAGGUUGCUGUAAAGCCACUGAAAAGUCUGAACCUGGUCUCUGAAGUUAAGCCAUCAAUCACACCAUACCCAAUCCUCCUGCAUUCUGCAGGCUUUCGAAUUAAAAAGCAUUCCUAAAAUUUUACUUAACUGUUUUUUGGGGCAAAAUCUCUUAAUUCCCAGUGAGCUCCUUGUGGUAGAAAAAUGCAUCCAUCACAGGUAACAUUUCCUCUGAUUUUUGCUUGUACUACCAUCCUUGCCUUAUCUGUUUCAUAAGUACUCUGUGUGUGGUAUUUAUGAAAUAUUAUCCAGGUAUGGUAUUUAAUCUCUUUACAGGAGAGAAAAAAACACAGUGCACUUACUCAGCAAUUCCAUAUAAAUUGUGCUUCUGUGAUCCGAUUUUCUGCCUCUUGAUACCACCAAAUUAUUACUUCAGCAAAACUCUCUGCAGUGCCACACACACGCAGAUGAAGUCAUAAUAGCAGUUCAUUUUACACAUGCAUAGCACAAUCCUCCAAAUGGUGUUCCUAAGAAUAGAGGUUUGAAAAUCUCCUUGAUAACAUGAGUGUGAGAGGGGUUUUUGUACAAUCAAUACUUACAUUCUACUUGCUGCUUGGUAUUGAUUGCCUCUCCUUCUGCAGGGUGUAAUGUAUAUUUAACUGUAUAAAAUAAGUAUAUUAAUUACUGGACCUGUGCUUCCAAUAAAAUUAAAAUUCUGAAUUAA
This is a non-coding RNA of Taeniopygia guttata (zebra finch), 7808 nucleotides long. NCBI's taxonomy places the organism in Eukaryota, Metazoa, Chordata, Aves, Passeriformes, Estrildidae. The record is from RefSeq and is a predicted model, not a curated record.